AUCCAGGGACAGUAUGUUUCCUCUCAGUCUUUCUAUUGUUCCUGCAGCAACAAUGAUCCUUCCAAAGGGGAGCAGCAGUCUAUAGGAAGACUAUGACAAGCAUCCUGAACACUUGGCAACUUAAAGUGCAGUCUUUGGGACUACUAUGUUGCGGUUGGGGCCCUCUUGAGCAAUCCCGUAAUUCAUCCUCCUGUCACUCAAACAUCGUUGCUGCCCUCUGCUGGGCUUUUGCAUCACUUUGAAUGAUCCGGAAAGAAGGUAAGAAAACCAUGUGAGACACACGUGAGUUGCGAAACACACUUUUGCUUUUGUAAAAAAAAAAAAAAAAAAUUGAAUGUACUUACAUACUGGUGUCAAAAGAGAAUGCACCAAAAAUGUUACACAGACAUACAAUUAAAAAGAAAAGGUGAUUUUAAUCUUCACGUACAAGGACUGGGGGGGAGGGGGGGGCUAUGUACAGGAGGGCUAAUUAAGAACGCAAGACACCAACUUACAAUCAUAAGGAGUUGAAAGUCUUGAAUUCAAAUUGUACCACUCAAAAAAAAACUUGGUGCUUCGCCUCCACAGAUCGCGACGAUCUUAUAAAGAGAUAGCGCUAUUCAGGUACAAAUUGCCUUUGUUUAAUAUAAUUCCUAAACAAAAAAAAUAAUAUCUUGAAAACGGUGAUAUAAUGAAUGUCUCUGGAUGGACGUCUAAGGAUGUUUGGGGGGAUAAAAAAUACUUUCUCGCUUCCAGAAAUUCAUUUAAACAUUGACGACA
Molecule: long non-coding RNA, 759 nt
Organism: Hippocampus zosterae (dwarf seahorse)
Lineage: Eukaryota; Metazoa; Chordata; Actinopteri; Syngnathiformes; Syngnathidae
Exons: 2
Source: RefSeq, a predicted model, not a curated record